RNAcentral lists this ribosomal RNA (465 nucleotides) under Vreelandella stevensii. Its description in RNAcentral is "partial 16S ribosomal RNA". It matches the Rfam family "Bacterial small subunit ribosomal RNA", at positions 338 to 795 of the family's 1533-position model. Lineage: Bacteria; Pseudomonadati; Pseudomonadota; Gammaproteobacteria; Oceanospirillales; Halomonadaceae. The record is from RNAcentral.
CCUACGGGUGGCAACAGUGGGGAAUAUUGGACAAUGGGGGGAACCCUGAUCCAGCCAUGCCGCGUGUGUGAAGAAGGCCCUCGGGUUGUAAAGCACUUUCAGUGAGGAAGAACGCCUGGUGGUUAAUACCCAUCAGGAAAGACAUCACUCACAGAAGAAGCACCGGCUAACUCCGUGCCAGCAGCCGCGGUAAUACGGAGGGUGCGAGCGUUAAUCGGAAUUACUGGGCGUAAAGCGCGCGUAGGUGGCUUGAUAAGCCGGUUGUGAAAGCCCCGGGCUCAACCUGGGAACGGCAUCCGGAACUGUCAAGCUAGAGUGCAGGAGAGGAAGGUAGAAUUCCCGGUGUAGCGGUGAAAUGCGUAGAGAUCGGGAGGAAUACCAGUGGCGAAGGCGGCCUUCUGGACUGACACUGACACUGAGGUGCGAAAGCGUGGGUAGCAAACAGGAUUAGAUACCCUGGUAGUC